This 463-nucleotide ribosomal RNA is filed under the name uncultured bacterium. RNAcentral's name for it is "bacterial SSU rRNA". It matches the Rfam family "Bacterial small subunit ribosomal RNA", at positions 32 to 523 of the family's 1533-position model. The record is from RNAcentral.
AAUCAACGCUGGCGGCGUGCCUAACACAUGCAAGUCGCACGAGAAAGGGGAGCAAUCCCUGAGUAAAGUGGCGCACGGGUGAGUAACACGUGACUAACCUACCCUCGAGUGGGGAAUAACCUAGAGAAAUCUGGGCUAAUACCGCAUAACACUUACGAGUCAAAGCAGCAAUGCGCUUGAGGAGGGGGUCGCGGCAGAUUAGCUAGUUGGCGGGGUAAUGGCCCACCAAGGCAAUGAUCUGUAUCCGGCCUGAGAGGGCGCACGGACACACUGGAACUGAAACACGGUCCAGACUCCUACGGGAGGCAGCAGUGGGGAAUUUUGCGCAAUGGGGGAAACCCUGACGCAGCAACGCCGCGUGGAGGAUGAAAUCCCUUGGGAUGUAAACUCCUUUCGAUAGGGAAGAUAAUGACGGUACCUAUAGAAGAAGCCCCGGCUAACUUCGUGCCAGCCGCCGCAGUAA